Xenia sp. Carnegie-2017 is the source of this 1001-nucleotide long non-coding RNA. RefSeq lists it as uncharacterized. The record is from RefSeq and is a predicted model, not a curated record. Lineage: Eukaryota; Metazoa; Cnidaria; Anthozoa; Malacalcyonacea; Xeniidae. The transcript is spliced from 2 exons.
UUGUGCUGUUUUUGCAGUUAAUAGAGAAUAAUCUGGCUGCCAAAGAAAAGCAGAAAAAAUAUUAUAAACCUUUUGCCAUUUUCGCAUCACAUAGCGAUGAAUCACAUAUACAGUUUGGGAGCUCGUUGGCUCACAAGGUAUAUAGUAGCUGCUGAAGAUAUGUAAAAAUAACUAUCAGCGUCUUUCCUUUAGGACGAGGAAUCUGAUUGCGACAGGGAAGAGGAAGCAAUCAUCACAAGAGACUUGCAAGAAGAUUGUAAUUGCACUCUGCAAACUUUGUAUAUACAGAUGGAGCAUUUUGUGAAGAGUACUCUAAGGAAUGUUAUUGACGCGAGGGAUAUUACAAGGACCAACAGAGAAUGUGGCCUCUUCUCGAUGUCUAUAUCCGGAGAACGGUAACUAAUUCUUAGCAGAGCAGCUUCCUGGACAUCUCUCCAAAUCGCAUGUCGCACGGUUUAAGCAAUAACAUCACUUCAGAUAAGCUUGACGCUGAAAAAGAUCAAUGGAGAAAUCAAAAUGGCUGUGAUGAUGGAGAUGAGUAUCCUGAUUUGAUGCCUCUUCCUUUUGGCUACGCUACGAGAAAAUCAAGAGUUCGUAUUGAAAUUGAGGUUUUGCAAAUGCUUGAAAGAAGGAGGGCUUGCUUUAGUUGUCAAGGUAACUCUUUAUUACAUGCAUUGUUUAAAUACACGGUAAUUUAGUCAUGUGAAGGAAAUUUUGUACGUGAGUUGGAAAUGCUUUAUAUACGCUUAGUUUCGUAAUAAAUUAGACGGCUGUCUCUAUGUGAUCAAAAGAAUUCCUUUGAUUCCGAAAAGUGUGCUAUUUAAUCGCUAAAUUACUCGAGAAGAGAAGUUGCUUUCUAGAUUGAAUCAUAAAAAUAUUGUAAGGUAAAAAGAAAUUUACUAUCCAAACUGAAUCAAAAUUUUAUUACGUAAGAAUUGAAAGCGAGGUUUAAUUUAGACAAUACAGAAUGCUUGGCUUAUUAAAUGUUAUCUUUGUAGAAA